CUCCUGGGAAGGAUGGCAAUCACCAUUUCCCAGAUGGGAACUGAAGCACCGAAAGGUUAAGCGUCUUGCUCAAGGAAGCCCUUUAUCAUCUUGGCAAUCCCCAUCCAUCCUGGCAUACUCUGGGCAAGUAAAUAACUGCACUGGGCAAGUAAAUAACCUUUUUCAUGGCAGUGCAACCUAGUGAAAAGACCACAGAACUGCACUGCAGGCUGUGUCUACAGGGAGGGAGCACCGCUUAAUGACUUCAAUCCAAUCUCCUAAAGGCCUUAUCAGUAGUGAACAGCCCCUCUGCUGACAGCUGACCUUUCCCACUAGGCUCAAAAGGAGAAAACAACAACAACAAAAAACAAUUAAAGGCAAUAUCAGAAAAGA
Ornithorhynchus anatinus (platypus) is the source of this 372-nucleotide long non-coding RNA. RefSeq lists it as uncharacterized. The record is from RefSeq and is a predicted model, not a curated record. The transcript has 3 exons. Lineage: Eukaryota; Metazoa; Chordata; Mammalia; Monotremata; Ornithorhynchidae.